This 249-nucleotide unclassified non-coding RNA is filed under the name Hevea brasiliensis (rubber tree). Lineage: Eukaryota; Viridiplantae; Streptophyta; Magnoliopsida; Malpighiales; Euphorbiaceae. The record is from RNAcentral.
CUUUUGCUUCUUUUGCCCAAGAAAGUUACGCCUUCUCCUUCAGUGAGCAUGAAAUUUCGCUAUGCCAUGGUGUGUUCAUCGAAUCAGAAUCGAAGCAUGGAGGCUCACUCACUGCUCAAGAGGCAAGGCUUUGAUGUGUCCUCCUAUGGAACAGGGUCCCAUGUUAAGCUCCCUGGACCCUCCCUCAGAGAGCCAAAUGUCUAUGAUUUUGGAACCCCUUACAAGCAAAUGUUCGAUGAUCUCAGGCGC